GAAAAGCUAGCUUCCGCUUACCACGAAGCAAAAUAAUAAAAAAAAAGCAUUAAAGUGCUAUAGCGAACGGUGGUAGGAUUCCACACACGUAUCUCCCGACUUGAUUAGAGACACUCUCGCCCACUCUUUGCCACGUAAGUUUUAUCUCGCCUCUCAACCGAGAACAAUGAGCUCAUAGAGCUUCCGCUUCGAUGAUUCGAAAAAGAUAUUGGGGAGAGAAUAGGUAGAAGAACCUGAACGUCAUUACCGUUAGUCUUCCAUGGAGUCCUCUGACUUCAAAGUGACGUACAUAUCCGUAUUUAUAAUCAUUAAUCUCAAGAAUACUAUUACUGCACUUCUUCCGUAGCGAAUCACUGGGAUUCAUUCGUAGAAAUGCAAAAGUCACGAGAGCCAAUCUUAAAAUGAAUUAAUUAUAAACCAAUUUCAUAAAUCUAAAUGUAUUCUUUCUCUCAAUCUCUAAAAGUGAAUCAGUGAUUUCAAUGCUACACUUAUAACUGAUAUAAUCAUCAGCAAAUGUUUACUGUUUUUUAGUAAUGGUACACUGAUCUUUCUCUCUCUCUAUCUUUCUCUUUCAAAAAGCAAGAGAAAUUGAAUAUAAACAAACUACAGUUCGCACGAGUGCUAUAGGCUCGAAUUAGUUAUGUAAUAGGAGAAAAAGAUGGCCGGGGUCGGUGAUUUACGCAUUCCGCUUCUGCUAGGCGCAACAAAGGCAGUGUGACGUGUCCGAAUACACACUUCCUCCUUCCUCUGUCUCUUUCAUCUCUUUACAUCGCGCUCCUCUCUGCCUUUCGCGCUCUGUGCGGUCCUUCCUAUCCUGACGAAGGUUUCUCACUCGCUCCUCGCGUUUUCAUCUCGCGCUCCGUCACUCCCACUCCGGCACUUCCUCUUCUUCUGGCCGGUUUCUCGCGGUUGCGGUGCGGCCUUGCAAUGCUGCAGGCACGGUCGCAUCCCCUCUCGUCCCGCCGACACCGCCGCUGCUGCACCGUUGCAGCUGCAACAGCAACGGAGGCGGCCGCAACGGCCGAUGCACACUAUUGCAGAGGCAGCGAGGUAACUACGAGGUAGUUGCAGCGCUGGUUCACCUCGUAGUACGAGGACGAGACAUUGGCCUACCACGCUCGACCUUGCCAGUUCGUUACUCUUUCCCCGCUUCUCUUAUGCAUUAUACACGGCUAUCCGCCUCUCGGCCCUGUGUCGUUGUCCUCCCUGUCCCUGCUCUUCGUCUCUCCCUCAGCAUUUCUAUCGUUUCUGUUUCCCUCGUUGUAUUUUCUCCUUCUUCUCCUCUUCCUUACCCCUUUUCUGCGUGUCUCAGUACUUCCCUUUCAAUUUGUCUCCUUUUCGUCUAUUUUCCCUGGUCCAUCUCAUUCCUGCCGACUUACCCGUCGCACCAUGUUUCUCUCUCGUCCUUCUCUCUCUUUCUGUCUCUCUGCGAUGCGAUGGCGACGAAUGGGUAAGGCGCAUCGUCAUCAUGCGAUCUCAUUUAUCGCGGCUGACCCCCCUCGAAUUCAGAUAGUGGUGGAACUCACUAUCUGAGAUAACGACGGAAAGAAGAAAGCGAUUGCAAACGGGAGCACAAGUGAUAAUGAUAGUGACAGCAAAGGUUAUAGUGAUGGCGACAGCAACAGAAAAGACUGCUACCAUUGGAAAUGAUUGUCGUCCACACGAUGCAUACAACUAGUUACGAUCCAAAUUAUAAUUAACAAUAAUAUCGAUGUGACGGUCCCCCACACCUACAUAUGCACAACACAAGAUAUGCAUGUUGUUCGGUGUGUCGUCAUCGAGCUUCGUUAACGCGGCGCUUCAUGCCAUUACGCGGCCCCCGAGACUAUAAAUUUUACAAAUUGCCCCGAUCGAAUCGUAAAGCAAUGCCAUGGCGGUGAGAGCCAUGUCUUAUAUCUCGCGUCUGAACGAUGGAUCGCGUUACUACCAUUUUAUCGACGCAUUUUUCUCUCCGCGUGAUCGAUUAGAAGGGACGCUCUCCGAGCGUAUACCGAUAAUGCAGCCCCUCGUUAAUUGGUUGCGAUCACUCGACUGGGAAAAAAGGGAGACAUCGCAGGACAAACGGCAAUCAUGAUUGUCACGCCUACGUGAGAUAGUAAGAGAAGGAAUAUCUUAUUAGCAUAUCAUUUUGCGUCGUUUUCAUUCGCAACGCCGUCGCAGAAUGGCACAAUGUUUGUCCAACUGAAAUUGCUUUCGCCACGAUGUAUUUUCUUAUAAAACAGUCCGUGCCCAGCGUCACGAUAAAGAUUUCAAUAUAGGACGGUGCAUUGAGCGGUGCUUUGAAAUAAAAACCAGCGUGACAGCAGGGUGCUUUGUACUAAAUAAUAGAAACGGGCGAUUCUCCAAAACCUUAUAAAGCAAUCAUAUUACUUUGCCUUGAUACCACU
Molecule: long non-coding RNA, 2387 nt
Organism: Atta colombica
Lineage: Eukaryota; Metazoa; Arthropoda; Insecta; Hymenoptera; Formicidae
Exons: 3
Source: RefSeq, a predicted model, not a curated record